This 465-nucleotide ribosomal RNA is filed under the name Vreelandella stevensii. Its description in RNAcentral is "partial 16S ribosomal RNA". It matches the Rfam family "Bacterial small subunit ribosomal RNA", at positions 338 to 795 of the family's 1533-position model. Lineage: Bacteria; Pseudomonadati; Pseudomonadota; Gammaproteobacteria; Oceanospirillales; Halomonadaceae. The record is from RNAcentral.
CCUACGGGGGGCUGCAGUGGGGAAUAUUGGACAAUGGGCGAAAGCCUGAUCCAGCCAUGCCGCGUGUGUGAAGAAGGCCUUCGGGUUGUAAAGCACUUUCAGUGGGGAAGAAAGCCUUGGGGCUAAUACCCUCGAGGAAGGACAUCACCCACAGAAGAAGCACCGGCUAACUCCGUGCCAGCAGCCGCGGUAAUACGGAGGGUGCGAGCGUUAAUCGGAAUUACUGGGCGUAAAGCGCGCGUAGGCGGUCUGAUAAGCCGGUUGUGAAAGCCCCGGGCUCAACCUUGGAACGGCAUCCGGAACUGUCAGGCUAGAGUGCAGGAGAGGAAGGUAGAAUUCCCGGUGUAGCGGUGAAAUGCGUAGAGAUCGGGAGGAAUAACAGUGGCGAAGGCGGCCUUCUGGACUGACACUGACGCUGAGGUGCGAAAGCGUGGGUAGCAAACAGGAUUAGAUACCCGGGUAGUC